This is a long non-coding RNA of Puntigrus tetrazona (Sumatra barb), 1286 nucleotides long. RefSeq lists it as uncharacterized. The transcript is spliced from 3 exons. The record is from RefSeq and is a predicted model, not a curated record. NCBI's taxonomy places the organism in Eukaryota, Metazoa, Chordata, Actinopteri, Cypriniformes, Cyprinidae.
GUCUGUGGGUUCAAAACCUGCUCCAGGUCUCCUAACAUAGUGAGUAUAACUUCUUUAUCCAGCUGUGCCUUCUCCUCCCUGGCACUCUCAAGCUCCCAGUCUCCUUCGGUGCCCUGGUUCGGACCUGCCCGAGGGUCCUCAUCCGUUUUACGACAGCUGCCCGCUUUCUCCACCACUAUCUCAGGCCGCUGGUGCUGAUGCGCAGGAGCCAUCCGGCUGGACUUUCGACCCCAGGGCACAGGAAUAAGGGAGUGUUCAGAUUGGGAAAGCACCUUGGUGAGGGACAGCGAGAGCGAGCGAGCUCGGGUGCCGCUGUCCGGAUGUCUACGGGAGCUACCUCGGCCAUGCUGGGGCGAGGAUGACGAAGACGAUGUCCCGGAGGCUGUCGAAGGUGGACAAGGUGGUUCGUCCAGCUCGAAGGCAUAAACCCUCUGUUCACCAUCGCUAAGCAGCACGAGAUUGCCGAGAGAACGUUGCUUGCGGAGGUUUAAGUUGUCCGGGAGAGGCUGCGGUGACUUGCGAGGCGGGCUGCCGCCCUGGAACACGGAAAACUCGGCUCCUCGCUUCAUAUUUUCACACGGUCUUUACACUUUCUCUUCCUUGCCUUGAAGUUAGUUCCUCCUCACAUGAUCUGCGAGCCUCAGGUGGCUGCUGGCAUACACGCUCAGUCGCAAAGCUGCCCCUUGCACCGGGGAGCUUCAAAUAUCAUCCUGCCCACACACACACUUGCUCAGCGCAGCCAAUAACCAGCAUCCAGGUGCAUACUCCUCCUGUCUUCCUCUUCUCUCACUUCUUUCCUUCAAUGCAGCACGGAGGCUCAUAGAGAGCAGAUCUGCACCAGAUUACGGUGAAAUCGUGAUACGCGUCCUUCACGGCAUCUCUUUUCUCUUUCGGCGAGCGGAGACUCUUCACACUCUCUGUCUAUUAAUUACCGACUGGAGCGUGCGCAUGUGGUUCGCUCCAAGGGACAGCAGGAGAGACAAUGAUGGCUUGUUUCCUGUUGCUGUUAGCUACCGAUUCGGCACACACCUUUGCAGCAAAACAUCACUCAAUUAAUUGGGUACAAUACAGAAGAUUACCCAAAUCAGACUCCAGAGAAUUCAGCAAAUACAUGUCAUAAUCAUCUUUUUUCUUUUGCCAUAAGCUUCAGCAACACCUCCAACCAAUCAGCCAACUAAAAACAGAGCAGGUGCAUGCAGAGAUUUUGCUUUUGUACUUACAUCGAGUAGAGCACAUUUUACAACCGGGCGGAACCCACAGUGCAGGAAGUGAGUUCUGAGGUUAAC